UGCAAGGUGGGAAGUAUUACAUUUCAUAAGAGAGGUAGAAAUAAAGUUCCAGGAAGUCUAGAGGAAUGAGUUACUCAACUUAGAGGAUAAAUGGGAAGAGUGCUAGAUCAGGGAAGUUUUAGAGGUGGCUUUGAGAGACAGGCUGCUGUAGGCAUGGGUGAGGGGAAAGGGAGGAAGAAAAGCAUUUUAGGUAGAGGGAAUGUUAUUUUCCAAUAGGCAGGGAGUCGUAAAAAUGUAGACCUAACUAAGGAUGUUUGGUUGGAGAACAUGGCAUGUGAAGCAACUCUUGAUUUUCCUCCCUAACCGUGUUCUUUCUUCCAGCCGUCAACUCAGUAAAUGAUACGAUACCACCGUGCAUUUGCCCACUCAGAAUUCUGGAGGCUGGAAGUCCACGAUCAAGGUGUCAGCAAGUUUUGUUUCUUCUGAAGCGUCUCUCCUUGGCUUGCAGUUGGCCUUCAUCUCCCUGUGUCUUCACAUGGUCUUCCCUCUGUACAUGUCUGUGUCCUAAUCUCCUCUUCAAAGGACACCAGUCAUUGGAUUAAGGUCCAAAUGACCUCAUUUUAACUUAAUUACCUCUUUAAGGACAGUAUCUCAAAACAGUCACAUUCUGAGUUACUGCAAGUUAGGACUUUAACAUAAGAAUUUUGAGGAAGCACAAUUCAGCCUAUAAAAAGAGGGAAAGAGUAAAUUUACAAUUGGGAAAUUUGAUAAACACAACCUGAGCCAGAUGACCAGGUCAAUAUUGACAGUGGUAUCUUGUGGAUAGUACGACCCUUGAUACGGUGUGAUGAAAAUGGCCCUUUACGUCACAAAAACCUAUAACCCCAGUCUAAUCAAGACAAAUCCCCACUGAGGGACAUUCUACAAAAUACUCAACCUGUGCUACUCAAAACUGUCAUCGAAAACAAGAAAAGGGAGAAACUAUCAGCCAAGAAGAUCUGAAUGAGAUAUGAUGACUAAAUGGAAUGUGGUAUCCUGCAUGGGAUCUUGGAACAGAAAAAGGAUGUGAGGUAAAAACUAAGGAAAUCUGAAUUAAGCAUGGACUUUAGUUAUGAUAAUAUAUCAAUAUUGGUUCGCUAAUUGUAACAAACGUGCUGUACUAUUGUAUGAUGUUAAUAAUAAAGGCAAACUGGUUGCUG
This 1139-nucleotide long non-coding RNA is filed under the name Equus asinus (donkey). Its description in RNAcentral is "lncRNA (ENSEASG00005037885.1)". The record is from RNAcentral. Lineage: Eukaryota; Metazoa; Chordata; Mammalia; Perissodactyla; Equidae.